Molecule: long non-coding RNA, 1219 nt
Organism: Mus musculus (house mouse)
Lineage: Eukaryota; Metazoa; Chordata; Mammalia; Rodentia; Muridae
Product: predicted gene, 36420
Exons: 3
Source: RefSeq, a predicted model, not a curated record
AAUGAUAAAUGGGCCCAGGGCAAGGCAAUGGUUGGACAGUCAGGAAAAUCAACACAAUGUACUACUUUGUGAAGAAGAAAGAGGAGGAGAAGGAGGAGGAGGAGGAGGAGGAGGAGGAGAAGGAGGAGGAGGAGGAUGAGGAGGAAGAGCGGGAUGGGGGUGCUGAAGAAAGUGCUAGUUCUCGCUUGUCUCUGCCAUGGCUCUGGCAAUAUCUUAAUUAAGUGUAGACUCAAGAUGAAAUAUGUGACCAGGAAAACUUCCCUCUUCCCCUCCGUGCACUUCAAGAACAUCUCUGAUGUGCCAAGCAGGGGUCCAGUCUUGUGACAAUGUAUGGGGCUGAAACACUUGAGAUGGCCAAAGAUGAUGGCUUUCCUUCUCUUGUUUUACACACACCUGACAAGAUAAGUCAAGACUCUUGGGAUUUGACCAUGACCUAAAGAUUUUGUAGGAUUUAUCACUAAAGUUUCGAAGGUCUUCAGAUCUGACCUUCCCUUGAUGUGGAGCCAACUCUAGGUUCCCAUCAUCCCGGGAACCCAAAGGCACAGUGCAUGCCGCCAACAGUGGAGCUCCUGCUAAAGAAUCCGCCAACGAUGAUGAUUGGGAGAACCCGUGACUCUCCUUGUGGGAAUCCCUCAACUUUCUUCAACAUGACUGGUCACAUUCAAAGAGAAGACAACAGGGUUUACUGGCGAAGUCACUAUAGAGAUAUUGUGCUUGAAAAUCUCUUCUAUUGAAGGACCAUUGUGAGGAAGGAGCCAAGGGCCAUCUUUGUGGUUGCUAGGUUACUUCAAAGAUGAGUUUUGACUCUUCCUACCUAUAGUCAGUCAAUCAAGCAAAACAUGCUAAGGCUGCAGAAAUGGCUCCUCAGGUAAGAACAUUGCCUUCUCUUCUAGUGGACCAAGGUUGGAUUCCCAGCCCUCAUAUAGGAGUUCACAACCAUUUGUAAUUCCAGUUCCAAGGAAUCAGAUGCCCUCUUCUGGCCAUGUGUGGGUACUACACACACAUGGCGCACAGGCAUAUGUGCAGGCAAACACUCAUACACAUAAAAUAAAAUCUUAAAAAUAUCAAACACAACUCCAACUCCAUCUAUUUUCAUUUAUAUGUAGUAUUUGUAACUAUUCCAAAGCAGAAGACGUAUUUGCAGAGGGAGAUUUAGCAACACUCAUAAUUUUAUCUCUGAGCUUUUGGGCUGCAGCUGCAGGAUGUUGGCUUUCACACA